Molecule: transfer RNA, 64 nt
Filed under: Pyramimonas parkeae
Lineage: Eukaryota; Viridiplantae; Chlorophyta; Pyramimonadophyceae; Pyramimonadales; Pyramimonadaceae
Description: partial tRNA
Source: RNAcentral
GUCUGGCAGGACCGCGACGAGUCCACCAACUUUUUCCAGAAAUACGACCCCGAGCUGGUGAAGG